RNAcentral lists this long non-coding RNA (1058 nucleotides) under Sus scrofa (pig). Its description in RNAcentral is "lncRNA (ENSSSCG00050039303.1)". Lineage: Eukaryota; Metazoa; Chordata; Mammalia; Artiodactyla; Suidae. The record is from RNAcentral.
GGUCUCUGAAAAUAUGAAUCCCAGAGAGAAUGUUUUGUGGCCUUGGUAUUGUUAAUAGCCCGCCUGGUCAUUUUCACAUGAGUGGAGAUGGGCUUUUAUUCUUUCAUUACUUAAGUCAUGCUGUUUCUUGAAUCUGAGACUGUGGUUGGCUCGUACCAGGUUUCUGGUUUUUACACCAUUACCAAAUCUGCCAAAGAUUGGCGUUAAUGAGUUUGACCCAUCAUGGCUUGCUCUUUUACACUGUUGGGAAGAGUGACUGCAAAGUUGCAUUUGGUGAUGGUGGGAUGCAUGAUGGUAUUAUUAAAGCUGAAGUUCUGCAGACCACAGAUUCAGGAGAGAGAAUGGCAUUAAGAUUAAUCUUAGACCUUAAUGUAAAAUUGUCUUAUAACCUGAAAGCUUUUCUUUUCUUCCUUUUUAUUUUAUUUUAUUUUUUUUUGGUGCACAGUCUAAAUUAGGGCGCUGUUAGUAGGGGGAGGGUAAUUGCAUUUUUGGUGGAUAGUGAAUCUCAAUUCUUAUUUAUAAGAAGUCUAUUUGAUUAAGUCCUUAUAGCUUCCUUGCUCAUUCUAUUUGCUUUGCAGUAUAUUAGGGACAGUAAAGUGAUUUUACUUCAAGGGAACCUAAGGUUUUUUAUUCAGAUUAUGUCUCAGUCAUUCACAUAAUUAUCAGCCAUGAUAACACUUUUUUAUCUUUGGAGUUGUGCACAAAUACCAAGCAGAUGCAAUCUGCUUGGCCUCACCUUGCUAAAUGAUUUUAGUGAGGAGAGGAAGUAAGAAGGAGAAGGGUGGUUUUGAUGAAGGAAUCAAAGAAGUGUUGUCGUUGAUCUUGUUUGUACAAUUCAUCAGCUUUAUUCUUUCCAGGAGAGAGAUUAGUUAUACACCUGAAACUAAUAAUAAUAAUAAUAUGUUGUGUCGUCAUCAUCAUCGUCAUCAUACUAUGUCAAUUAUUGCUUCAAUAAAAAUGAUUUUUAAAAGAUAGAUCAAUAGAAUGGGCAUCCAGGUUACCAGGAUAAAAGUACCUCUUUAUUUUUAUUUUUUGUCUUUUUAGGACCGUACCCGUGG